CGCCCCGUCCGUCUGUGAACCCUAGCCCCGCGCUCGCACGCUCCCUGUCGCGCCGCCGCCCCCGCCUCUGCUCGCCGUCGUGCCAUCGGGCCAUUUCCUCCUUCCCCGAGGACGGGGAGCCGGAGCUGCCCCCGCGCGUCGUCGAUCAUCUCCUCGCUGGCUGGACACCGUCGACCACGAAGCCGGUCUUCUCUAAGCGCGCGCCGCCGUAUGGGUCGCCAAGAUGCCGAGGCCGAGGCGGAGCUCCAGGACAUCGAGGCCGCGUACGCCGCUGAGUCCGCCAGGCGUCGCCACCUCCCCGACUGGUCCAAGACGCCAGCCCCCCGCUCCCGUCCGCCCACGGCCCAACCCAGUCCCCACGGCCGCGUGUGCCUCCUCGCCGUCGUGGGUGCUCUCUCCCCCACUUGCCAAGAACAUUCAAAUCACUGAAUGGAUGCAUAAAAAAGGGAAAAAUGCAGCAAGGAGGGAGAGGAUAUUUUUGCAUCUCAGGUCUGAAUGAGCUCAGGUUUCUUGGGGGUCCUAAUGAGUUUUCUGUCAAAAACUAGCUUAAAUGGCAGCAAGUUUUGAAUACAGUGUAUGUUUCUGUAGUUUCUUUAAUAAGAUCACUGAAUACAGGUUUUUAGGGUCCUUGGAAUUGAGGGGAUGGAUAUUACUAUAUGUGUCCUAGGUAUCUGCACAGUAGUUUUUGUUGCCUUCUUAGCUUGUUGGGUACCUAUUUUUUCUGUCAAUGAGUACCGAUUUGGCCUGAGGUUGUGUCCUUUCUCAAGGAAGGUUUUGUUCCUAUCCAGUACUAGGAGACGAAUUGGUUGCAGGGUAGCCAGAGUAGGUCUUUCUGCAUAUGCAUUUGACUAUUAGAUGUCCCAAGAUUGUUGGUUACUUCUUUUGGUCUUAUACUGAAUAUGUCUUUGGUCAGGACAACUUAGAACAGCUUGUGUGUGCCUCUCAGAUUCCUACAGAAGAAAGGAUACCUUUUCUUUUUUAUUGGAUGGACAACAACAUAACCACAACAAUAGAUCUAUCAGUUCUGCGCCGGUUGGACGGCGUUCAGGCGCAACCCCGGCACCCACUGAGUACUGCCUCUGCUACAACCUUCCUCGGUGAGCUCCAUCUUCCUCCCGCUCUGCUUCGGCUACUGUAUGGGGCGAAAUAAGGAUUCCAGUCACUCUCCCGCUUCCUCAGCGAUUUGGGCUUCCUGGCCGUUGGAUCAAAGCGCUUGAUGCGAUUUGAGCCGUCGGAUCGAGCCCUAGAAUGACCUCGUCCGUCGGAUAAAAAAUAGUUAUCGCUGCAAUGAACAGUUUCACCCCGUUCGUGCCACCGCGUGUAAAUAGUCUGCCCCGCCGGGGGCAUUUUUGUCAUUUCACUCGCACAUGGUAUAAAAGGCGCCGGCCCGCGUGGAGAUGACCUAGCCGCUCUCCAGCCCGCACUUGCGCCCCCUCCCUCGUCCUCGCCGCCCCGCCCGCAUCGCCCCGCCUGCUGGAUCAAAAAGAGACACUUAGCUGGCGCAGGGCUAUGAUGAUCGGUUAUGGCUGUUAUAAGCAUGCUCUCUAGCAAUCGAGGCACUUGUGGGUAUUAAGUUCGAUCUCCCCUUGUUUCUUUAAGCCAUUUUGAUCAUGUGCUUAUUUUAGUGGCUCUACCCUUGGAUGGUCAUUUUUGAUGAGUGAUAACCAGGGCAGUUUCCAUCGGGAGCAGUCUGUCCAGCACGUCCGCCUAGCGACGAGCCGACAACGCAGGUCUAGGGUGCACGAUUAUGGUCGGCUACAUAUGGGGAGACAAAGUCUUCCAUGAAUCCAAUAUUUUCAUGUAGACCAAGUCUUUCGCAGCCUUCUGAUUAUAUGCCAUGGGCCGUCCAAUGUGGCCCAGAUCGAAACGGACAAAUAGGUCCCAAGCCUGGACCACGAGGGCGGGAGUCGACGUGAUGCGAUGCCCCUUAGCCGGGACACCAUCAAAAUGUUUGCCACAUGGACGGGCAUUUUUCCCACCAAGCAGGUGAAGGAGGAUAUGUGCAAACUUUUCAUGGAUGUGCAGAGGAUGGAGUUCGACCGGGAGAUACGAA
Molecule: RNA transcript, 2053 nt
Organism: Triticum dicoccoides
Lineage: Eukaryota; Viridiplantae; Streptophyta; Magnoliopsida; Poales; Poaceae
Exons: 3
Source: RefSeq, a predicted model, not a curated record